This 497-nucleotide ribosomal RNA is filed under the name uncultured bacterium. RNAcentral describes it as "partial 16S ribosomal RNA". It matches the Rfam family "Bacterial small subunit ribosomal RNA", at positions 28 to 507 of the family's 1533-position model. The record is from RNAcentral.
GAUGAACGCUGGCGGCGUGCCUAAUACAUGCAAGUCGAGCGAACAGACGAGGAGCUUGCUCCUCUGACGUUAGCGGCGGACGGGUGAGUAACACGUGGAUAACCUACCUAUAAGACUGGGAUAACUUCGGGAAACCGGAGCUAAUACCGGAUAAUAUAUUGAACCGCAUGGUUCAAUAGUGAAAGACGGUUUUGCUGUCACUUAUAGAUGGAUCCGCGCCGCAUUAGCUAGUUGGUAAGGUAACGGCUUACCAAGGCAACGAUGCGUAGCCGACCUGAGAGGGAGAUCGGCCAAACUGGAACUGAGACACGGUCCAGACUCCUACGGGAGGCAGCAGUAGGGAAUCUUCCGCAAUGGGCGAAAGCUUGACGGAGCAACGCCGCGUGAGUGAUGAAGGUCUUCGGAUCGUAAAACUCUGUUAUUAGGGAAGAACAAAUGUGUAAGUAACUAUGCACGUCUUGACGGUACCUAAUCAGAAAGCCACGGCUAACUACGUG